AAUCAGGCACAUAAUAGACAACAAAUUAACAAGUAGGUGAACCUAGCUGCAGACUUGAGAUUACCAUAUUUCUUAUACAAACAAACUCCUUUUAUAUUAUCAAACUAGAGAUAUAAUCAAGCUAAGAGUUGAGUAACUAGAAACUCGAGCCUGAUGAAAAAAAAGAUAAUAUUUAAAAUUGAGUCGAUUUAACUCCAAUAUCAACCGAGCCA
RNAcentral lists this long non-coding RNA (212 nucleotides) under Elaeis guineensis (African oil palm). RNAcentral's name for it is "long non-coding RNA (EGUI_LNC017715)". The record is from RNAcentral. Lineage: Eukaryota; Viridiplantae; Streptophyta; Magnoliopsida; Arecales; Arecaceae.